CAUUAGAAAGCUGAAUCGGACAAUAGCGUUAGCCUUUUAAGCUAAAGACUGGUGGCCUCC
Molecule: transfer RNA, 60 nt
Filed under: Electrona carlsbergi
Lineage: Eukaryota; Metazoa; Chordata; Actinopteri; Myctophiformes; Myctophidae
Description: tRNA-Lys
Source: RNAcentral